RNAcentral lists this ribosomal RNA (429 nucleotides) under Bacteroidota bacterium. RNAcentral describes it as "Bacteroidetes bacterium partial 16S ribosomal RNA". It matches the Rfam family "Bacterial small subunit ribosomal RNA", at positions 355 to 776 of the family's 1533-position model. Lineage: Bacteria; Pseudomonadati; Bacteroidota. The record is from RNAcentral.
UAGGGAAUCUUCCGCAAUGGACGCAAGUCUGACGGAGCAACGCCGCGUGAGUGAAGAAGGAUUUCGGUUCGUAAAACUCUGUUGUUAGAGAAGAACAGCGCAUAGAGUAACUGUUAUGCGUGUGACGGUAUCUAACCAGAAAGCUCCGGCUAAAUACGUGCCAGCAGCCGCGGUAAUACGUAUGGAGCGAGCGUUGUCCGGAAUUAUUGGGCGUAAAGCGAGCGCAGGCGGUCAAUUAAGUCUGAUGUGAAAGCCCCCGGCUCAACCGGGGAGGGUCAUUGGAAACUGGUUGACUUGAGUGCAGAAGAGGAGAGUGGAAUUCCAUGUGUAGCGGUGAAAUGCGUAGAUAUAUGGAGGAACACCAGUGGCGAAGGCGACUCUCUGGUCUGUAACUGACGCUGAGGCUCGAAAGCGUGGGUAGCAAACAGG